UACUGCUCGUCUCACUCACUCUCCUACUUGCCACGUUUCUCCAGGCCAAGGCAGUGCCAUCCCUGCAAGAUCAAGCAGGAGCGCUCCUUGCCUGGAAAGCCACGCUCCAAAGCCACCCAGCCCAGCUGCAAUCCUGGUCAAGGGGAAACAAUACUAGCACACGGCCCUGCAGCUGGUAUGGCAUCAAGUGCCGCAAGCAUCAAGUAAGUCACCAAGAGGUGAUCACCGGGAUCUCUCUACGUGGGCUGCGUUUGAGAGGGGAUCUCGACGCCCUCAACUUCACGGCGUUGGAAACCCUGACAAGCGUUCAACUCUCGCACAACAAGCUCACUGGGAGGAUCCCUCCGAGCAUUGUGUCCCUCAAAGAGCUCCGGUUCCUGCUUCUUCGGCGCAAUCAGAUAAGGGGCCCUUUAUCACCUGCUUUAGCAUCCUUGACAAAGCUGCAGUACUUAAUGCUCCAACAGAAUGAACUCUUCGGUGAAAUAACAAGGCAAAUAGGAGAACUAGAGGGUCUUGUGAAGCUGAAUUUGUCUGCCAACCACUUGUCUGGUCCCAUCCCCGGCGAACUAGGCUACCUAAAUAAGUUGUCCAUGUUAGAUUUUUCUAGCAACAACCUCACAGGCCCCAUUCCAAGAAAUUUAGGUAAUCUCACUAGACUCACUAUCUUGUACCUUUCUGGUAAUUAUUUAUCUGGAUAUCUUCCUCGAGAACUAGGUUACCAUGUAAAUUUAAAAGAUUUGGAUCUUAGCAAAAAUAUACUGAUAGGUUCCAUCCCCAAUUCCUUUGGGAGUUUGAUUAACGUCAAUGUCUUGGCCCUAUGGCAUAACCAAUUUUCGGACAAUAUUCCUCGAGAACUAGGUUACCUAGUGAAUCUAAAAGAGUUGUAUCUUAACAUGAACAAACUCAAUGGUUCCAUUCCCAGUACCUUUGGGAAUUUGACAAAGCUCACAAUCUUCUACCUUCAUGAUAAUAAGAUCUCUCAAUAUCUUCCUCGAGAACUAGGUUACCUAGUGAAUCUACGAAAGUGUAUCUGUGGAAUAAUACAUUUUCCGGGUGUAUUCCUCGGGAACUAG
RNAcentral lists this ribosomal RNA (1073 nucleotides) under Triticum aestivum (bread wheat). Its description in RNAcentral is "partial small subunit ribosomal RNA". Lineage: Eukaryota; Viridiplantae; Streptophyta; Magnoliopsida; Poales; Poaceae. The record is from RNAcentral.